This 265-nucleotide ribosomal RNA is filed under the name uncultured prokaryote. Its description in RNAcentral is "partial 16S ribosomal RNA". It matches the Rfam family "Bacterial small subunit ribosomal RNA", at positions 524 to 788 of the family's 1533-position model. The record is from RNAcentral.
UACGUAGGUGGCAAGCGUUAUCCGGAAUUAUUGGGCGUAAAGAGCGCGCAGGUGGUUGAUUAAGUCUGAUGUGAAGGCCCACGGCUUAACCGUGGAGGGUCAUUGGAAACUGGUCGACUUGAGUGCAGAAGAGGGAAGUGGAAUUCCAUGUGUAGCGGUGAAAUGCGUAGAGAUAUGGAGGAACACCAGUGGCGAAGGCGGCUUCCUGGUCUGUAACUGACACUGAGGCGCGAAAGCGUGGGGAGCAAACAGGAUUAGAUACCCG